ACAAGAGAAGGUUAAUUAACAGAACAGCAAGCGACAACAUAGAAAGAAGCGCUCUGCUCUGCUGCAUAUUUUUUUUUCUUAGUUCUUCUUUUUCGUUUUUGAUCUGAAAAUUUUAGAUUUCUCGUGGAGAAUAUGGUAAAUUCGCAUCCGGUGGGUUUCAGAUUCCAUCCGACCGACGAGGAGAUCAUUGGCUAUUACCUCAGGGCAAAAAAUAUGGAUGGCAACACGACUCAUGUCAAUGAAUUCAUUAACACAGUCGAUAUCUAUAGCUUCGAUCCUUGGGAGUUACCUUCCAACUCGAGUUCGAUAAGGAAGGACUAUGUUUGGUAUUUCUUCGGUCGUAAAGACAACAAAUAUGUGCACACAAAAAGAAAAGUAAAGACGACAAAUAUAACAGAGGAACCCCUUUUUUCAAAAAAAAAAGACAAAUAUAACAGAGGAGGGAGACAGAGCAGGAAAAAGAGUUCUGGUUUUUGGAAGAAGACCGGAGUUACUGUUAACAUGAUCAACCCAACAGUCCAACAGCCCAUGACAAGAAAGAAGAAGAAGUGAGCCAUCAACAACGCAAGCCCACAACUCAGCUCAAGACACCAACAGCUAGCUUGACUGUCAACAGCUCAGCCUUCGCUGAAAACAAGCAGAGUAUGGAUUCAACAAUUAAGUUGGAGAACAGAUUUGGUCUCCUUGCAGAAAACGACAUUUAAGCUCUCUGAGUAGAAAAUUCCUUAAUAUAUUCCAUUAGGUUAAGCUUGUCCUCUCUGUAUAAAUAACAAAGGAUGUACAAGUUAUUAAGUAUAAAAAGAAAAAAAAAUUCUUAAGUAAUAAAAAUGGGGUUUAAGCUUUGAGUA
Brassica oleracea var. oleracea is the source of this 848-nucleotide long non-coding RNA. RefSeq lists it as uncharacterized. The record is from RefSeq and is a predicted model, not a curated record. NCBI's taxonomy places the organism in Eukaryota, Viridiplantae, Streptophyta, Magnoliopsida, Brassicales, Brassicaceae. The transcript is spliced from 2 exons.